CCUACGGGAGGCAGCAGUGAGGAAUAUUGGUCAAUGGACGAGAGUCUGAACCAGCCAAGUAGCGUGAAGGAUGACUGCCCUAUGGGUUGUAAACUUCUUUUAUAUGGGAAUAAAAUGUUCCACGUGUGGGAUUUUGUAGGUACCUUAUGAAUAAGCAUCGGCUAACUCCGUGCCAGCAGCCGCGGUAAUACGGAGGAUCCGAGCGUUAUCCGGAUUUAUUGGGGUUAAAGGGUGGGGAGGGGGAUUGUUAAGUCAGUUGUGAAAGUUUGCGGCUCAACCGUAAAAUUGCAGUUGAAACUGGCAGUCUUGAGUACAGUAGAGGUAGGCGGAAUUCGUGGUGUAGCGGUGAAAUGCUUAGAUAUCACGAAGAACUCCGAUUGCGAAGGCAGCUCACUGGACUGCAACUGACACUGAGGCUCGAAAGUGUGGGUAUCGAACAGGAUUAGAUACCCCUGUAGUC
This 460-nucleotide ribosomal RNA is filed under the name uncultured bacterium. Its description in RNAcentral is "partial 16S ribosomal RNA". It matches the Rfam family "Bacterial small subunit ribosomal RNA", at positions 338 to 795 of the family's 1533-position model. The record is from RNAcentral.